Molecule: unclassified non-coding RNA, 296 nt
Filed under: Hevea brasiliensis (rubber tree)
Lineage: Eukaryota; Viridiplantae; Streptophyta; Magnoliopsida; Malpighiales; Euphorbiaceae
Source: RNAcentral
AAGUGUUGUUGGUAGUGAUUAUUAUGAUAAGGGAGCAGAGGAUUGGGAAUUGGAAUUUCUUGGGGAGAUUGAGCCCUUAGGUUUUCAAGCACCCAAGAAGAGGAAAAAACAACAAAAUUCCAAAUUGCUUGAAGAUACUGUUGGGAUGGAUUGGUGUUUGAGGGCUAGGAAGGUUGCCCUCAAGUCAAUUGAGGCAAGGGGAUUGAGUCAUAAGAUGGAAGAUUUGAUUAAUGUAAAGAAGAAGAAGAAUAAGAAGAAGAAAAUGAACAAGAAGAACUUGGUGAGUAAGAGUAGGC